CAGCAUUAUAACGACAAGUUUGUCUUCUAAAAUUGCCUCAGCCAGCAAUUUAUUUUGCGCCGCCAUCUUGGAUGUUUACUUUCGUGUACUACGCAUGCGCUGUUACGACAAUCCGUAAGCAGAUAGCUUUCGUUCGCCGCACACGGAAAGAUUUUGGCACGCGAGGCAGAAAUUAUCAAACAUGUUAAGGCCGGCGCACACUAGAGCUAUGUGCUUAGCAAAAUGUCAUUCGUGACUGUUGGCGUAAGGAGAUAGCUCUCGUGUGCGGGCGAUUUACGAAC
This is a non-coding RNA of Paramuricea clavata, 281 nucleotides long. Lineage: Eukaryota; Metazoa; Cnidaria; Anthozoa; Malacalcyonacea; Plexauridae. The record is from the annotation of a GenBank genome assembly.